UACAGAGGGUGCGAGCGUUACUCGGAAUUACUGGGCGUAAAGCGCACGUAGGUGGCUUAGUAAGUCGGAUGUGAAAUCCCCAGGCUUAACCUGGGAACUGCAUUCGAAACUGCUUUGCUAGAGUAUGGGAGAGGGCAGUGGAAUUUCAGGUGUAGCGGUGAAAUGCGUAGAUAUUCGGAAGAACACCAGUGGCGAAGGCGGCUCACUGGACCGGCAUUGACGCUGAGGUGCGAAAGCGUGGGGAGCAAACAGG
Molecule: ribosomal RNA, 253 nt
Filed under: uncultured bacterium
Lineage: Bacteria
Description: partial 16S ribosomal RNA
Rfam family: Bacterial small subunit ribosomal RNA
Source: RNAcentral